UGUAAAUCUACCUGUGCAGUGUUAAUUAACUCCCCAUAAUCAGAUUCGGCACGGAGAGAUAACUCGAGGAACCUAUAAUUUAGGGGACUUUCCGGUACUCUCUACUGAUCAGAUAAUGAAGACCACGUCCACCUGAGGAUCAGGAGACUGACCAGGACCUCCAGACCUGUCUUGAGGCCACCUGACAGUACCACUCCCAUGCACCUUCCAUGCCCACCCUCACCCAGUUCCUCGUAGAGGAAGAGCCGGGAACCAACCUGCCUCUCCCUGGACGCCGCUGGCACUGUCCUUGGUGCGUGGCCCUUGCUUUACCCCCUUGAAUGUGUGCCACUUCCCAGAUCGUCCCCUCCGCUCUCUGGCUGUGUCUGCUGAAAGUCUUUUCCGUCGCAUAAGCCAGGACCCUGCUGGUCCUGGGCCGACUCCCCCCUUCUCUCUGGGGACCCCUGGACACCUCUUCUCUCAAGACAUGCCCACUCCAAACCAGUGCAACACGCCUGUGCCCCAGGCCCCGGCCAGGCUCUGGGGGUGCAAGGACGUGGCAGAGCUGCCGUGAGGGGCCUUGUGUGGCCCCCUGCAGGGUCGUCAUCCCUCAGCUGGGCCGGGCUGGCGUUCACUCUCUCCUCCACCUGUCCAUUUGGCCCAAGGCUGCAUUGCACUCAGCCUGGGGGGCAGAUGGAGCAGCCGCGAGGCAAAGACAGACGCUUUGGGGAAGAUGUGGUAAGAGGCCCCGGGCCUCCGGCAGGCUGGUGUCUGCCUUGCCCCUAGACAUGCCUCCCAGGCUCGGCUGCCAGCCCGAGGACAGCUGCUCUGGGCACGGCUGUCUGACGGCAGGAGCUGUCAGGCAGCGUGGCUGGCAGGUAGGGUUGCAGCUAUGGGUGGGGCCGGCACAUAGGGCCUCCCCAAGGUGCCAGAAGCCCUUCUUGUGCCUGGGAGUUUCCUGGGAUCAGCUUGGGAAGAGGUGGGGUCAGUGGCCAGUUCCUGUUGUCUGGACCCCCGUUACCCUGUCCUCCCUCCUCAGCUUCGUUGCCCCAGACCUGGCGGAUGUCUGAGCCUGAAGCUCAGCCAGAUGGGGACACAGGCAGUGGUCUGGGAGGAGGCCUGGAGCCCCUAGGUCCAC
RNAcentral lists this long non-coding RNA (1117 nucleotides) under Marmota monax (woodchuck). The record is from RNAcentral. Lineage: Eukaryota; Metazoa; Chordata; Mammalia; Rodentia; Sciuridae.